This 345-nucleotide unclassified non-coding RNA is filed under the name soil metagenome. RNAcentral's name for it is "partial contains 5.8S ribosomal RNA, internal transcribed spacer 2, and large subunit ribosomal RNA". The stretch from base 1 to 119 matches the Rfam family "5.8S ribosomal RNA", at positions 35 to 154 of the family's 154-position model. The record is from RNAcentral.
GAUGAAGAACGUAGCGAAAUGCGAUAAUUAAUGUGAAUUGCAAAUUCAGUGAAUCAUCGAGUCUUUGAACGCACAUUGCGCCCCCUGGUAUUCCGGGGGGCAUGCCUGUCCGAGCGUCAUUGCUGCCCUCAAGCACGGCUUGUGUGUUGGGCCCCGUCCUCCGAUCCCGGGGGACGGGCCCGAAAGGCAGCGGCGGCACCGCGUCCGGUCCUCGAGCGUAUGGGGCUUUGUCACCCGCUCUGUAGGCCCGGCCGGCGCUUGCCGAUCAACCCAAAUUUUUAUCCAGGUUGACCUCGGAUCAGGUAGGGAUACCCGCUGAACUUAAGCAUAUCAAUAAGCGGAGGA